RNAcentral lists this ribosomal RNA (414 nucleotides) under uncultured bacterium. Its description in RNAcentral is "partial 16S ribosomal RNA". It matches the Rfam family "Bacterial small subunit ribosomal RNA", at positions 355 to 760 of the family's 1533-position model. The record is from RNAcentral.
UGGGGAAUAUUGCACAAUGGGCGCAAGCCUGAUGCAGCCAUGCCGCGUGUGUGAAGAAGGCCUUCGGGUUGUAAAGCACUUUCAGCGAGGAGGAAGGGUAGUGUGUUAAUAGCACAUUGCAUUGACGUUACUCGCAGAAGAAGCACCGGCUAACUCCGUGCCAGCAGCCGCGGUAAUACGGAGGGUGCAAGCGUUAAUCGGAAUUACUGGGCGUAAAGCGCACGCAGGCGGUUUGUUAAGUCAGAUGUGAAAUCCCCGCGCUUAACGUGGGAACUGCAUUUGAAACUGGCAAGCUAGAGUCUUGUAGAGGGGGGUGAGAAUUCCAGGUGUAGCGGUGAAAUGCGUAGAGAUCUGGAGGAAUACCGGUGGCGAAGGCGGCCCCCUGGACAAAGACUGACGCUCAGGUGCGAAAGC